This 4821-nucleotide long non-coding RNA is filed under the name Nicotiana tabacum (common tobacco). Its description in RNAcentral is "long non-coding RNA (NTAB_LNC006484)". The record is from RNAcentral. Lineage: Eukaryota; Viridiplantae; Streptophyta; Magnoliopsida; Solanales; Solanaceae.
AUCCUUAUGUGAAACUCAGCUCUUCUUUCCCUUCUUCUCUUUCCCUUUAUUUCUCUCAUCGAUUGAAGGCUCAAAACAAAAACUUUUUUCCUUCUUCUCUACACCCCCCCUCAAGUUGGAGGGGAGAGAAUGGACCCCCAACUUGUGCAAGAUGAGAUUAUGUGAAGCUCUUGGUAUAGGUUUGGUAAAAAGAUCGGCGAGCUGCUAGUGAGAUGGGACAAAAGAAAGGGUUAUUAGCCCGGAGAGAUACUAUUGGCGGACAAAGUGACAAUCGAGCUCAACAUGUUUUAUUUGCUCGUGAAAGACAGGGUUACGGAUGUUGUGUAUUGCUGCUUGGCUAUCAAAUUGAACCGGAAUAGGAAGUAAAGGUGGAGAAGACAGAUCUGCAAGAAGGUGUACCAACCAGGUAAUUUCUACGGUAACUCUUCUCAUAGUCCUAUACUCUGGAUCUGCAGAUGAAAGAAAUAUUGAUGCUUUCUUUUUUGAUUUAGAGGAAAUUGGUGCUCCACCAAGAAUGAUAAAGAACCCAUUAACUGACCUCCUAGAAUCUUUGCAAGCUGCCUAGUCGGAAUCACAAAAAGCUACCAAAUCGAAUGAAGGGUAUGAAGAUAGAAAAAUACCAUGUGAAGGAUCUGCAGACAGAUAACGUAGAACACGCAGGCCAGCAGUGAAAUGAGAAAGGCAUGGCCUUUGCAUAAAUUGGUUGAGACAAAACACAACAAAAGAUAAGUCAGGCCGAGUAUUUGUGAGGUAAUUGAGUUUGCCCACCAAAUAUCGAUAAAGAGUGGGAUCUGAAUAAAGAGGCCCAUCAUCAGCACCGAGUUUGGAAUAAGGAUCAAGUGAUGAAGAUACUGCCGAGCCAGAAAAGUUAAAUUCCUUCAAAAUAAUGAACCCCUGUUUUUCUCGAAGAAUUUCCAACGCUAGGAAAUAAUGAAUGUCUCCUAAGUUUUUAACCUUGAAUUUAGUAUUGAGAAAAGUUGUAAUUUGAUUGUUUCCUCAAUAUCACUGCCUGAUAUUAAAUUGACAUCUAUGAUAGAAACUAGGCCCCAGAUUGUUUGUAGAACAAUGAAUAGUCAUUGAGGAAACUAGAAUAGCCAUUGUAGCUUAAUGCCCCAGCAAGCUUGGCAUACCACUGCACUUCCUAGAGGCUUGCUUUAAAUCAUACAGUGACUUUCUCAAAAGACAUACUUAGUAGGAUCAGGAGGUGAUAGUCCAGCAGGAAAUUUCAUGUAGACUUCUUGUUGCAAGUCUCCAUGUAAAAAGGCAUUGUUCACAUCAAGUUGUGACACAUGCCAGCCUUUCUUCACAACUAUUGUUAAGAGACAUCUAAUUGUGGUCAUUUUCACCACUGGAGAAAAAGUUACUAAAUAGUCAAUUUCUUCUCUUUGUAUGCUCCCCCUCACUACUAACCUUGCCUUCAGCCUUUCUAUAGUACCAUCUGACUUAUGUUUAACUUUGUAAACCUAUUUGCAUGGUAAAGCCUUCUUUCCUGGUGGUAAGGUCACCAUAUUCGAAGUAUGAUUCAACUCUAGAGCUGCAAUUUCUACCUCCAUUGCCUUUCUCCAACCCGCUUCCUUACAAGCUUCAUGGUAGCUUGUUGGUUCUGAAAUGGUGGACACACUCUUCAGAACAUUCUGAUUAUUGAGUGUGAGUCCUCCAAAAGAGAAAGCAGUAUGUUUAGCUGACUGAGUGAAACAUGAGGAGUUGAGGUCAAUGAGGAAUAUGCUAUUGCAUACAUAAUCAUUUAGGUAUGUUGGUCUUUGAGUAAUCCUUUCAAAUUUUCUGAUUGGAAGUGGUGGAAUGGGAAAAGUGGGAACGGGAGAUGAAAUAGGAGGACUGGGAGUUAGGUUGAUUGGUUGAUGAAGUACUAGGUGAAUAAUGUGGUGAAUUUUCUAGCCCAAAACUUGGCAAAGGAGAAGAGGGUUCAGGAUGGUUAGUGGUUUGAUCUCCCAUCCCAGGUGUCCUGCUAGGUGUAGAAAGAAAAGGGGAGGCAGCUGAAUAUGCUUACGGUGUAGAGAUGAUACUGAUAGAUGGUUGAACAGAAGGUGGAAUAUCAGAAAAAGUGGUAGAAGGGAAAAACAAAGGGAGGUGUUGUGGUGGACAAAGUGAAAGGGAAAUGAUCUUCAUGGAACUUGACAUCUCUGAAAAUAAACACCUUUCUUGUUUCAAUUUUCAGAACUUUGUAACCCUUUUGACCUUGUGCAUAUCCCAAGAACAAACAUCUCUUAGCUCUUGGCUCAAAUUUAUUCCUAUUAUGAGCCAAAGUAGAUGCAUAGCAUAGACAUCCAAAAGAUCUAAGUGAAUCAUAGUUAGGCGAUCUCACAAGAAGAACCUCAUAGGAUGUCUUGCCUUUCAAAACUCUAGAAGGUAUCUUGUUGAUGAGAUGAGUGGCUGUCAGCACACAUUCUCCCCAGUAUUGAAUGGGGACCUUAGACUAAAAAACUAGACCCCUUGCAACUUCCAAAAGAUGCAUAUAUUUUCUCUCAAUCACCCUAUUCUGUUGGGGUGUUCCCAUAAAAGAUGUUUUAUGCAGUAUACCUUGUGAUUCAAGGAAGCCAGCUUCCUGUGAUCCUUUGCCUAAUCCUUUGCAUUAUCAGACCUUACCCUUUUUACCUUCAUAUUAAAUUGCCUUUCUACCGUACUACAGAAAGAUUUUAGAAUUGGAAAAGCAUUAUUUUUGCAACUUAACAGAAAAGUCCAUGUGGCUCUACUGUAGUCAUCUACAAUAGUUAGGAAAUACGUAAACCCAUUGUAUGUCUCAGUCCUGAGUGGUCCUUAAGUAUCAGUGUGAAUCAAAUAAAAAAUCCCUUGGGUUUUGAUAUGACUUAGAGGAAAGGGGAGUUUACUUUUUUUUAGCUUGAGGACAAAUGUUACACACAUAAUCAAAAUUUGAAGGAAAAUUAAUGAAGCUAAGAUUCUUCAUUACUGAAAAGGGUAGAUGACCCAAUCUAACAUGCCAUUGGCUUACAGUAGAAACAACAUUAGCCACUAAAGGUGUUUGAAAAGAAACUGAACUAGAACAAUUGUUGGAAUUUCUUCCUUUUGGAAUUGAAACUACAUCUUGACAAGGCAGAAUGUCAGAAGCUACACUAGUGGGCCUGAGUAGAUAUAAAUUAUCUCUUACUUCACGAAAAAACUUGUCCCCUCCUCAGUAAAGGGACCUGCAUUAGACAACCAUAUGAAGUUAGAUUUAAAGAGCAUUUGAAUUGACUACAUAACUUAUGAAUAGACAAUAAGUUAUAUCUGAAAGAAGGCACAUGAAGAACUCUUUUAAGGAUCAUAUCUGACUGAAUGAAGACACUACCUUGUGUAACAUAUAAUUGGAAAGAGUUAGGUAGACUAAUAUGUAAAGGAAUAGGAAGAGGAGUCAAAUCUAUGAAUGAGCUUGAAUCAAAACACAUAUGCUUAAAAACUCCUGAAUUAAUAAUCCAUGUUUUAGUAUUAAAAGCUUAAAGACAAGUUCCAGUAUACUUAAGGAUUGUAGCAGCCACUACAUUGGCAUUAAUUUCUGAACUUGUAUGUCCUGAGUUCCCAAUCUGCACCUGCUUGAUUAAGUUAACUAGCUCAGAAACUUGCUCCUUGCUGAACAUUUGUGGCUGAUUGUUGAUGUUUCCCUCAUUUUUAGGAGUUGCUACACCUUUAUCUUGUCCUAUUACCACUGCAUUUCCUUUUACUGCUCCCUGAUAAUUGUUUGGUUGUUUGGUAAACUAAAAAGCUUCUUAGGAACCCUAUCAAUCUGUAGCAGUCUGCUCUCACAUGUCCUGCUCUCUUGCAGUGAGAGUAGGUGACAUUAGGGUUGCAUUUAGACUUCUUUCCUUUGAACUUUUGUGGACUGUUUCCAAACUUCUGAGUGGCAGACUAGGAUUUCUGAUUCUGAUUGUUGUUCCUUUGUUGGAACUUUGUCUGAGUUCCUACCAUAAAUGAUGCUCCAACAGAAGGGUAUUGAGGGUUUAUGUAUACCUCUCUUUGACUCUCAUCCUAAAGUAGCAAAGAGUAGGCAUGAUCUAAGCUAGGUAGAGGAUUCAUCAUAAGAAUAUUUCCUCUUGCUUGGCCAUACACAUCAUUAAGUCCCAUAAAAAAUUGAAUAGCUCUUUGAUAUUCCAAAAACUUAGUGACCUUCUUUCCAUCACACACACAGUCACAGAUGCAUCCUAGGUGUGUGCUCAGAGAAUCCAACUCAUCCCAUAGUCUCUUCAGAGUUGUAAGAUAGCCUGCUACACUGCUAUUUCCUUGAACUAACUUAGAUAUCUCCUUUUGCAGGUGAUAUAGUUUGGCCCCAUUGGAUUGGCCAAACCCACCUCAAGGUUGUUCUAAAGUUCCAUUGCAGAUUUUGAGUAGAUGACACUAUCUCCUAUUUCUUUAGAAAGUGAGUUUAGAAACCAUGAGGUGACCAUGUCAUUGCACCUACUCCAUUGAGGAAGAUCACUGGAAUCCAGACUUGGUUUCCCACAGCUUCCAUUGAUGAAACCAAGUUUAUUCUUGGCAAAUAGUGCAAUUAAGAUUGACCUCAUCCAACUUGGAAAGCCUCUCCCAUCAAAUUGUGAGUUGACGAGAGACAUACCAGGUGCAUCAGAGGAGUGAAGAAAGUAUGGAUGAUUACAGUCCUGAUUGACUGUAGUAGAUGAAGAACCUAGGCUGUGAGAAAUUGGGGUAGAGAUAACUAGAGUCUCAUCUGUUACUGCCAUAGUUAGCCUCUGGACUUAAGAGAUUUUGAGAAAAUGUGAAGGAUCAAGCUAUUAGAGCUUUGAUAUCAUGUAAGAUUUAAUAAGGAAGAUGAAGGAAUUUUCUCUGUGUAUUGUAUAUCAUCUGAAACUCUGUACN